Molecule: ribosomal RNA, 468 nt
Filed under: uncultured bacterium
Lineage: Bacteria
Description: partial 16S ribosomal RNA
Rfam family: Bacterial small subunit ribosomal RNA
Source: RNAcentral
GACGAACGCUGGCGGCGUGCUUAACACAUGCAAGUCGAACGGAAAGGCCCUGCUUUUGUGGGGUGCUCGAGUGGCGAACGGGUGAGUAACACGUGAGUAACCUGCCCUUGACUUUGGGAUAACUUCAGGAAACUGGGGCUAAUACCGGAUAGGAGCUCCUGCUGCAUGGUGGGGGUUGGAAAGUUUCGGCGGUUGGGGAUGGACUCGCGGCUUAUCAGCUUGUUGGUGGGGUAGUGGCCUACCAAGGCUUUGACGGGUAGCCGGCCUGAGAGGGUGACCGGCCACAUUGGGACUGAGAUACGGCCCAGACUCCUACGGUAGGCAGCAGUGGGGAAUAUUGCGCAAUGGGCGGAAGCCUGAUGCAGCAACGCCGCGUGCGGGAUGACGGCCUUCGGGUUGUAAACCGCUUUCGCCUGUGACGAAGCGUGAGUGACGGUAAUGGGUAAAGAAGCACCGGCUAACUACGUG